RNAcentral lists this ribosomal RNA (607 nucleotides) under uncultured bacterium. RNAcentral describes it as "bacterial SSU rRNA". It matches the Rfam family "Bacterial small subunit ribosomal RNA", at positions 331 to 929 of the family's 1533-position model. The record is from RNAcentral.
CCAGACUCCUACGGGAGGCAGCAGUAGGGAAUCUUCGGCAAUGGACGGAAGUCUGACCGAGCAACGCCGCGUGAGUGAAGAAGGUUUUCGGAUCGUAAAGCUCUGUUGUAAGAGAAGAACGAGUGUGAGAGUGGAAAGUUCACACUGUGACGGUAACUUACCAGAAAGGGACGGCUAACUACGUGCCAGCAGCCGCGGUAAUACGUAGGUCCCGAGCGUUAUCCGGAUUUAUUGGGCGUAAAGCGAGCGCAGGCGGUUAGAUAAGUCUGAAGUUAAAGGCUGUGGCUUAACCAUAGUACGCUUUGGAAACUGUUUAACUUGAGUGCAGAAGGGGAGAGUGGAAUUCCAUGUGUAGCGGUGAAAUGCGUAGAUAUAUGGAGGAACACCGGCGGCGAAAGCGGCUCUCUGGUCUGUAACUGACGCUGAGGCUCGAAAGCGUGGGGAGCAAACAGGAUUAGAUACCCUGGUAGUCCACGCCGUAAACGAUGAGUGCUAGGUGUUGGGUCCUUUCCGGGACUCAGUGCCGCAGCUAACGCAUUAAGCACUCCGCCUGGGGAGUACGACCGCAAGGUUGAAACUCAAAGGAAUUGACGGGGGCCCGCACAAG